UCGAGAAUCUUCGGCAAUGAGCGCAAGCUUGACCGAGCGACGCCGCGUGCGGGAUGAAGGCCUUCGGGUUGUAAACCGCUGUCAGUGUGGAGGAAAUCCCUAGGGGUAAUCUCUUAGGGUUGACCUAUACGCAGAGGAAGGAUGGGCUAAGUUCGUGCCAGCAGCCGCGGUAAGACGAACCAUCCAAACGUUAUUCGGAAUCACUGGGCUUAAAGGGUGCGUAGGCGGCGUGGUAAGUUGGGUGUGAAAUACCUCAGCCUAACUGAGGAAUUGCGCCCAAUACUGUCAUGCUCGAGGAAGACAUAGGUGAGCGGAACUUAGGGUGGAGCGGUGAAAUGCGUUGAUAUCCUAAGGAACACCAGUAGCGAAAGCGGCUCACUGGGUCUUAUCUGACGCUGAUGCACGAAAGCUAGGGGAGCGAACG
Molecule: ribosomal RNA, 424 nt
Filed under: uncultured Planctomycetaceae bacterium
Lineage: Bacteria; Pseudomonadati; Planctomycetota; Planctomycetia; Planctomycetales; Planctomycetaceae
Description: partial 16S ribosomal RNA
Rfam family: Bacterial small subunit ribosomal RNA
Source: RNAcentral